This 701-nucleotide ribosomal RNA is filed under the name uncultured Actinomycetes bacterium. Its description in RNAcentral is "bacterial SSU rRNA". It matches the Rfam family "Bacterial small subunit ribosomal RNA", at positions 703 to 1407 of the family's 1533-position model. Lineage: Bacteria; Bacillati; Actinomycetota; Actinomycetes. The record is from RNAcentral.
GGAACACCAAUGCCGAAGGCAGGACUCUGGGCCAUACCUGACACUGAGGAGCGAAAGCGUGGGGAGCGAACAGGAUUAGAUACCCUGGUAGUCCACGCCGUAAACGGUGGGCACUAGUUGUGGGGACCUUCCACGGUCUCUGCGACGCAGCUAACGCAUUAAGUGCCCCGCCUGGGGAGUACGAUCGCAAGAUUAAAACUCAAAGGAAUUGACGGGGCCCCGCACAAGCAGCGGAGCAUGCGGCUUAAUUCGACGCAACGCGAAGAACCUUACCAAGGCUUGACAUAUACAGGAAUAUGGCAGAGAUGUCAUAGCCGCAAGGUCUGUAUACAGGUGGUGCAUGGUUGUCGUCAGCUCGUGUCGUGAGAUGUUGGGUUAAGUCCCGCAACGAGCGCAACCCUCGUUCUGUGUUGCCAGCAUUUAGUUGGGGACUCACAGGAGACUGCCGGGGUUAACUCGGAGGAAGGUGGGGAUGACGUCAAAUCAUCAUGCCCCUUAUGUCUUGGGCUGCACGCAUGCUACAAUGGCUGGUACAAACGGCUGCGAUACCGCAAGGUGGAGCGAAUCCGAGAAAGCCAGUCUCAGUUCGGAUUGGGGUCUGCAACUCGACCCCAUGAAGUCGGAGUUGCUAGUAAUCGUAGAUCAGCAACGCUACGGUGAUACGUUCCCGGGGCUUGUACACACCGCCCGUCACGUCACGA